Molecule: transfer RNA, 73 nt
Filed under: Zootermopsis nevadensis
Lineage: Eukaryota; Metazoa; Arthropoda; Insecta; Blattodea; Termopsidae
Rfam family: tRNA
About the family: Transfer RNA (tRNA) molecules are approximately 80 nucleotides in length. Their secondary structure includes four short double-helical elements and three loops (D, anti-codon, and T loops).
Source: Rfam by way of RNAcentral
GCCAUUGUGGUCUAGCGGUUAGAACGCUGGCCUUGUAAUCCUGGGGUCUCGGGUUCGAUUCCCGGCGGUGCCC